CUAUUAUAUAUUAUAAGUUGCUUAAAAUUUCUUCUUUAUGAUUCUAGUAACUUUAAAAGUUUAAAUGUUUUUCGAGAUUAUAUUGUUUGAAGUUUUAAUUUUAUAUUUUGAAAAGGUUUAAAUUUUGAAAUACUCAAGUUUUAAAAAUCCCAUAUUGGAUAUUCAAAUGAGUAGAUUAGUAUUUUAAUGAAGUCCAAGAGU
RNAcentral lists this long non-coding RNA (201 nucleotides) under Elaeis guineensis (African oil palm). RNAcentral's name for it is "long non-coding RNA (EGUI_LNC002257)". The record is from RNAcentral. Lineage: Eukaryota; Viridiplantae; Streptophyta; Magnoliopsida; Arecales; Arecaceae.